CCCAGGCCCGCCGCUGUGGGAAGAGCGGGCUGUACGCGCUCGCUCCGUCUGACGGGGUCGGUAGCAAGAAAAUGGGAGGUUCUGGCGAGUGUGAGGGUUUUGUCCCUCAGUUCUGCUGAUCCGGUGCCUGGUUAGCAGGCAGGUGCAAGCCUGGAUCCUGGCACAGUUCUCUCCCUUACUUCUGUAGAGACAUUGCUUCUUGUGCCCCGGAAUGUGACGCUAUCAGCGUGAGAAGCUGCUUCAGUGCAAUCUGAGGAGCCAUGGAUCUACAGUAAAUAAAAACUGGCCUCAGGUGGUCUUGGACACUUUCUGAAGAAUGAAAGAUCGGUGUGCCACUUUUCCUCAUCUCUUAUCAUGGAGCUCCCUGUGUAUGAGACACCUUAACACACUGCCUAUAUAGCAGUCCUUAAGC
RNAcentral lists this long non-coding RNA (412 nucleotides) under Gallus gallus (chicken). The record is from RNAcentral. Lineage: Eukaryota; Metazoa; Chordata; Aves; Galliformes; Phasianidae.